ACGUAGGGGGCGAGCGUUGUCCGGAAUGACUGGGCGUAAAGGGCGCGUAGACGGUUUUUUAAGUCUGGAGUGAAAGUCCUGCUUUCAAGGUGGGAAUUGCUUUGGAGACUGGAAGACUUGAGUGCGGAAGAGGUAAGUGGAAUUCCCAGUGUAGCUGUGAAAUGCGUAUAGAUGAGGAAGAACGCCAUUGGCGAAGGCGACUUACUGAGCCGUAACUGACGUUGCUGCGCGAAAGCGUGGGGAGCGAACAG
This 251-nucleotide ribosomal RNA is filed under the name uncultured prokaryote. RNAcentral's name for it is "partial 16S rRNA". It matches the Rfam family "Bacterial small subunit ribosomal RNA", at positions 525 to 775 of the family's 1533-position model. The record is from RNAcentral.